AANNAUCNAAGNGAAAAACAANNCGCGUUUUUNGGAAAAAAGAANUGGGUACUAUUCCCAUACCGUGUCUACUUACCUUUGUUGCUUUGGCGGGCCGCCUUCGGGCGUCGUNGGNNUGGCUCCGGCUGACAGCGCCCGCCAGAGGACCCAAACCCGUCUGUUUAGUGAUGUCUGAGUACUAUAUAAUAGUUAAAACUUUCAACAACGGAUCUCUUGGUUCUGGCAUCGAUGAAGAACGCAGCGAAAUGCGAUAAGUAAUGUGAAUUGCAGAAUUCAGUGAAUCAUCGAAUCUUUGAACGCACAUUGCGCCCCUUGGUAUUCCGAGGGGCAUGCCUGUUCGAGCGUCAUUAUGACCACUCAAGCCUAGCUUGGUAUUGGGGCCCGCGGUCUCGCGGCCCCUAAAAUCAGUGGCGGUGCCGUCUGGCUCUAAGCGUAGUAAUUCUCUCGCUACAGUAUCCAGGUGGUAGCUUGCCAACAACCCCAACUCUCACGGUUGACCUCGGAUCAGGUAGGGAUACCCGCUGAACUUAA
RNAcentral lists this ribosomal RNA (531 nucleotides) under cf. Hymenoscyphus sp. GU30. RNAcentral describes it as "eukaryotic LSU rRNA". The stretch from base 194 to 347 matches the Rfam family "5.8S ribosomal RNA". The record is from RNAcentral. Lineage: Eukaryota; Fungi; Ascomycota; Leotiomycetes; Helotiales; Helotiaceae.